Molecule: non-coding RNA, 494 nt
Organism: Chiloscyllium plagiosum (whitespotted bambooshark)
Lineage: Eukaryota; Metazoa; Chordata; Chondrichthyes; Orectolobiformes; Hemiscylliidae
Source: RefSeq, a predicted model, not a curated record
GAACACUUCAGCAGUCAAGGACAUUCAGCCUUGGAUCUUCAGGAGAUAAAGUAUCUUUGGAACUAUGGAUUUUUCAAAAUGUGAUAGAAGCAAAGACUUUGAAUAUUUUAAGCAGUGAUCUUAUGAUGGAUGGAAGAUCGUUGCUGAAGCAGUUGAAGAAGGUUUUCUCUAGGAUACUGGUCCGAGGAACCCUGCAAUCAAGUCCCAGGAUCAUGACUGAUGAUUGACUAACAACUAUAACCUCUUACCUUGUGUUUACUAUGACUCCAACCAGUGGACAGUUUACCUAAUUCCCAUCGACAGUUUUUUCUAGGGUUUCUUGAUGCCAUACUCAGUUAAGAUUGGGAGAUGCCAGUGUUGGGCUGGUGUGUACAAAAUUAAAUCAUCACACUGAUCUUUCAUCAGGUGGUUGUGGUUGUGUGAUGUAAUUGAAAUUUAAUAUUGGUCUUUUUCAAUAUAUAAUUUCAGUUACAUCACACUGUAAAUUUUUGCUA